Molecule: long non-coding RNA, 9674 nt
Filed under: Salvia miltiorrhiza (redroot sage)
Lineage: Eukaryota; Viridiplantae; Streptophyta; Magnoliopsida; Lamiales; Lamiaceae
Description: long non-coding RNA (SMIL_LNC004879)
Source: RNAcentral
UCUUGCUUAUAAAAGAGCUUAAUGCUCAUUUAUCCUAAUGAUUAUGAAGUAGCACAAUGCUUAUGAAAGAACUUGCUCAAAUGUCCAUGUUGCUUAUGAAAAGCGUCUAAUGCUCAGGUAUCACUCAUAGCUUGAUUCUCACAUGUCCCUACUGCUUAUGAAAGAGCUUAAAGCUCACUUAUCGUGUGGCUUAUGAAAGAGCCUAAAGCUCACUUGCCCUUGUUACUUAUAAAAUAGCAUAAAGCUCACUUGCCCAUGCUGCUUAUUGAAAAACUUUAAAGCUCACUUGUCCCUGUCAUUUGUAAAAGAACUUAAAGCUCACUUAUCCUCAUUGUUAAUUGAAGAGCUUAAAGAUAAAGCUCACUUAGGUCCCUCUGCAUAUUAAACACUAAAGCUCGCGUGUCCCUAUGGCUUAUAGAAAGCUUGAAGGUUAGUUGUCCCAGUCUCUUAUAAAAGAGUUUAAAGCUGACGCUCCCUGUUGCUUAUAAAAGAGAUUAAAAUAAUCUUGUCCAUGUCCCUAAUAGAACAUCUUAAAGUCACAUAAAAGAGAUGAGCUCACGUGUCCAUAUGGAUAUAAAAUAGCAUAAAGCUCAACGUUUCCUUCCCAUUUAUGAAAAAGCUUAGAGGUCACUUGUCUCUCUCGCUUAUAAAAGGGCUUAAAGCUCACGGGUCCCUGUUGUUUAAUAUAAGAGCUUAAAGUUCACCUUUCUCUGCCACUCGUAAAAGACCGUAAAGCUUACUUGCUCCUGCCGCUUAUAAAAGAGCGUAAAACUCACUUGUCCCUGUCAUUUAUGAAAGAGUUUUAACGAUCACUUGUUCCCAUCAUUAAUUAAAGAGCUUGAAGCAUAACGCUCACUUGUCCCUGCUGCUUAUUAAACAACAUAAAGCCCACUUGUCCCUCUGGCUUAUGGAAAAGCUUAAAGGUUGCUCGUCCCUGUCUCCUAUAGAAGAGUUUAAAGCUCAUGUGUCCAUGUUGCUACUAAAAUAACUUAAAGCUCACAUAACAGAGCAUGACGCUCACAUAUCCCGAUGUUGAUUAUAAAAGAGCUUAAAGCUCACUUGUCCUCGUCGCUUGCAAAAGAGCUUAAAGCUCACUUGUCCUCGUCGCUUGCAAAAGAGCUAAAGCUCACUUGUCCCCCAACGCCCCCGCUUAUAAAGAGCUUAAAAGCUCACUGUCUCUGCGCUUAUAAAGAGUUAAAGUUCUGGGGUCUGUAUAAAAGAGCUUAAAGCUCACUUGUCCCCUCGUUUAUAAAAAAGAGCAUAAAGGUCACAUGUCUUUAUCGCUUCUUAAAGAGCUUAAAGCUACUUGUCCCUAUGGCUUAUAAAAGAGCUUGAAGCUCAUUCGUCCUGCUGUUAAAAGAGUAUGAAGUUCACGUGUCCCUGUGGCUCAUAAAAGAGCUUAAACUUUGCUUCUCCCUGUAGCUUAUAAGGCGUAAAGAACUAUGUCAGUGUUCCUAUGGUAUAAAGUUUAAAGCUCACGUGUCCCUUCUGUUCACAGAAGAGUUUAGUGCUCAUGUGUCCCUCUUACUUACAAAAGAGCGCAAUGCUCAUGUGUCACUCCUAAGCAAGAGCUUAAUGCUCACAUGUCCCUGGUGCUUAUAAAAGAGCUUAAAGCUCAUGUGUCCCGGUUGCUUAUAAAAGUGCUUAAGACUCACGUGUCCUUGCUUAAAAUGCUCAUAACCCAAUGAUUACGAAAUAGCUUGAUGAUCAUGUGUGAAAGCGCUUGAUGCUCAAAUGUCCCUGUUGCUUAUCUAAAAACUUUCUCGAGUGUCCCUGUUGCAUAUGAAAAGAGCUUAAUGCGCACGUAUCCCUCAGAGCUGAUGCUCACAUGUCCCUCAUGUGUCCCUGUGGCAUAUGAAAGAGCUUACAGCUCACUUGUCCCUAUCAAUUAUAACAGAGCUUAAAGCUCACUUGUCCCUAUUCCUUAUUAAAGCGCCUAAAGCUUACGUGUUCCGUGUUGCUUAUAAAAGAGUUUCAAGUUUACUUGCCCCCAUCACUUAUAAAAGAGCUUAAAGCUCACAUAAAAUAGCAUGAAGCUCACUUGUCCUUGUGAAUUAUAAAAGAGUUUAGAGCUCACUUGUCGGUGUCGCUUAUAAAAGAGCUUAAAGCUCACUUGUCCCUACUUAUACAAGAGCAUAAAGCUACGUGUCCUGGUUGCUUGUAAAUAGCUUAUAGAUUCCUCUCUCUCUCUUAUAAAAGAGCUUAAACCUCACGUCUCCCUGUCACUUAUAAAAGAGCAUUCAGCUCACUUGUCUAUGUCUUAAAAGAGCUCAAAGCUCAUGUGUCCAUGUCCCUUAUAAAAGAGCAUGAAGCGCACGUGUCUCUGUGGCCUAUAAAAGAGCUUAAAGCUCACUUCUCCCUGUUGCUUAUCAAAGAGCUUAAAAGUUACUUGUCCCUCCCCAUUUGUAAAUGUCCCUGCGUUUAUAAAAUUGCAUAUAGCUCAUGUGUCCUUGAUGCUUGUAAAAGAGCUUAAAGCUCACGUGUCUAUAUCGCUUAUAAAAGAGCUUAAGGCUCAUGUGUCUCUAGCUUAAGGCUCAUUUGUAAAAAAGAGCUUAACGGCACAUGUUCUCUUGCUUAUAAAAGAGCUUAAUGCUCAUAUCCUAAUGAUUAUGAAGUAGCACAAUGCUUAUGAAAGAAUUGCUCAAAUGUCCAUGUUGCUUAUGAAAAGCGUCUAAUGCUCAGGUAUCACUCAUAGCUUGAUUCUACAUGUCCCUACUGCUUAUAAAGAGCUUAAGCUCACUUAUCGUGUGGCUUAUGAAAGAGCCUAAAGCUCACUUGCCCUUGUUACUUAUAAAAAGCAUAAAGCUCACUUGCCCAUGCUGCUUAUUGAAAAACUUAAAGCUCACUUGUCCCUGUCAUUUGUAAAAGAACUUAACUCACUUAUCCUCAUGUUAAUUGAAGAGUUAAAGCAUAAAGCUCACUUGUCCCUCUGCAUAUUAAACAGCAUAAAGCUCGCGUGUCCCUAUGGCUUAUAGAAAAGCUUGAAGGUUAGUUGUCCCAGUCUCUUAUAGAAGAGUUUAAAGCUCACGUCCUGUUGCUUAUAAAAGAGAUUAAAAUAAUCUUGUCCAUGCCCUAAUAGAACAACUUAAAGCUCACAUAAAAGAGCAUGUAGCUCACGUGUCCAUAUGGAUAUAAAAUAGCAUAAAGCAACUUUCUUCCCAUUUAUGAAAAAGCUUAAGGUCACUUGUCCCUCUCGCUUAUAAAAGGGCUUAAAGCUCACGGUCCUGUUGUUAAUAUAAGAGCUUAAAGCUCACUUUUCUCUGCCACUCGUAAGACCAUAAAGCUUACUUGUCUGCCGCUUAUAAAAGAGCGUAAACUCACUUGUCCUGUCAUUUAUGAAAGAGUUUUAACGCUCACUUGUUCCCAUCAUUAAUUAAGAGCUUGAAGCAUAACGUCACUGUCCACUGCUUAUUAAAGAGCAUAAAGCCCACUUGUCCCUAUGGCUUAUGGAAAAGCUUAAAGGUUGCUUGUCCCUGUCUCCUAUAGAGUUUAAAGCUCAUGUGUCCAGUUGCUUAUAAAAGAGAUUAAAUAAACUGUCCAUGUCCCUACUAAAAUAACUUGAAGCUCACGUGUCCCGAUGUUGAUUAUAAAAGAGCUUAAAGCUCACUUGUCCUCGUCGCUUGCAAAAGAGCUAAAGCUCACUUGCCCCCCCUCCCCCUCCGCCUCUUAUAAAAGAACUUAAAAGCUCACUUGUCUCUGCCGCUUAUAGAAGAGCUCAAAGUUCUGGGGUCUGUGUAUAUAAAAGAGCUUAAAGCUCAUGUGUCCCGGUUGCUUAUAAAAGAGCUUAAAGCUCACUUGUCCCUCUCGUUUUUAAAAAAGAGCAUAAAGGUCACAUGUCUUUAUCGCUUCUUAAAGAGCUUAAAGCUCACUUGUCCCUAUGGCUUAUAAGAGAGCUUGAAGCUCAUUCGUCCUGCUGCUUGUAAAAGAGUAUGAAGCUCACGUGUCCCUGUGGCUCAUAAAAGAGCUUAAAGUUUGCUUGUCCCUGUAGCUUAUAAAAGGGCUUAAAGCUGAAUGCUCAUGUGUCCUAUUGGCUUAUAAAAGAGUUUAAAGCUCACUUGUCCCUUCUGUUCACAAAAGAGUUUAGUGCUCAUGUGUCCCUCUUACUUACAAAAGAGCGCAAUGCUCAUGUGUCACUCCUAAGCAAGAGCUUAAUGCUCACAUGUCCCUGGUGCUUAUAAAAGAGCUUAAAGCUCAUGUGUCCCGGUUGCUUAUAAAAGAGCUUAAAGCUCACUUGUCCCUCUCGUUUAUAAAAAAGAGCAUAAAGGUCACAUGUCUUUAUCGCUUCUUAAAGAGCUUAAAGCUCACUUGUCCCUAUGGCUUGUAAAAGAGCUUGAAGCUCAUUCGUCCUGCUGCUUAUAAAAGAUUAUGAAGCUCACGUGUCCCUGUGGCUCAUAAAAGAGCUCGUCUCUGUAGCUUAUAAAAGGGCUUAAAGCUGAAAGCUCAUGUGUCCUAUUGGCUUAUAAAAGAGUUUAAAGCUCACGUGUCCCUUCUGUUCAUAAAAGAGUUUAGUGCUCAUGUGUCCCUCUUUACUUACAAAAGAGCGCAAUACUCAUGUGUCACUCCUAAGCAAGAGCUUAAUGCUCACAUGUCCCUGGUGCUUAUAAAAGAGCUUAAAGCUCACGUGUCCCGGUUGCUUAUAAAAGUGCUUAACACUCACGUGUCCUUGCUUAAGAAAGAGUUUAAUGCUCAUAACCCAAUGAUUACGAAAUAGCUUGAUGAUCACGUGAGAAAGCGCUUAAUGCUCAAAUGUACGUGUUGCUUAUCUAAAAACUUUCUCGAGGGUCCCUGUUGCAUAUGAAAAGAGCUUAAUGCGUACGUAUCCCUCAGAGCUGAUGCUCACAUGUCCCUCAUGUGUCCCUGUGGCAUAUGAAAGAGCUUACAGCUCACUUGUUCCUAUCAAUUAUAAAAGUGCUUAAAGCUCACUUGUGCCUAUUCCUUAUUAAAGCGCCUAAAGCUUACGUGUUCCCUGUUGCUGAUAAAAGAGUUUCAAGUUUACUUGCCCCCAUCGCUUAUAAAAGAGCUUAAAGCUCACAUAAAAUAGCAUGAAGCUCACUUGUCCUUGUGAAUUAUAAAAGAGUUUAGAGCUCACUUGUCGGUGUCGCUUAUAAAAGAGCUUAAAGCUCACUUGUCCCUCCCACUUAUACAAGAGCGUAAAGCUCACGUGUCGUGGUUGCUUGUAAAAUAGCUUAUAGCUGACUUGUCCCUCUCUCUCGCUCUCUUAUCAAAGAGCUUAAACCUCACGUCUCCCUGUCACUUAUGAAAGAGCAUUCAGCUCACUUGUCUAUGUCAAUUAUAAAGAGCUCAAAGCUCAUGUGUCCAUGUCCCUUAUAAAAGAGCAUGAAGCGCACGUGUCUCUGUGGCCUAUAAAAGAUCUUAAAGCUCACUUCUCCCUGUUGCUUAUCAAAGAUCUUAAAAGUUACUUGUCCCUCCCCAUUUGUAAAUGUCCCUGUCGUUUAUAAAAUUGCAUAUAGCUCAUGUGUCCUUGAUGCUUGUAAAAGAGCUUAAGGCUCACGUGUCUAUAUCGCUUAUAAAAGAGCUUAAAGCUCAUGUGUCUCUAUUGCUUAAGGCUCAUGUGUCCCUAUUGUUUAUAAAAGAGCUUAACGGCCACAUGUAUCUCUUGCUUAUAAAAGAGCUUAAUGCUCAUUCAUCCUAAUGAUUAUGAAGUAGCACAAUGCUUAUGAAAGAAUUUGCUCAAAUGUCCAUGUUGCUUAUGAAAAGCGUCUAAUGCUCAGGUAUCACUCAUAGCUUGAUUCUCACAUGUCCCUACUGCUUAUAAAAGAGCUUAAAGCUCACUUAUCGUGUGGCUUAUGAAAGAGCCUAAAGCUCACUUGCCCUUGUUACUUAUAAAAGAGCAUAAAGCUCACUUGCCCAUGCUGCUUAUUGAAAAACUUGAAGCUCACUUAUCCUCAUCGUUAAUUGAAGAGCUUAAAGGAUAAAGCUCACUUGUCCCUGCUGCAUAUUAAACAACGUAAAGCUCGCGUGUCCCUAUGGCUUAUAGAAAAGCUUGAAGGUUAGUUGUCCCAGUCUCUUAUAGAAGAGUUUAAAGCUCACGCUCCCAGUUGCUUAUAAAAGAGAUUAAAAUAAUCUUAUCCAUGUCCCAAAUAGAACAACUGAAAGGUCACAAAAGAGCGCAAUGCUCAUGUGUCACUCCUAAGCUAGCGCUUAAUGCUCACAUGUCCCUUGUGCUUAUAAAAGAGCUUAAAGCUCAUGUGUCCCGGUUGCUUAUAAAAGUGCUUAACACUCAUGUGUCCUUGCUUAAAAAAGAGUUUGAUGAUCAUGUGUGAUGGCGCUUAAUGCUCAAAUGUCCCUGUUGCUUAUCAAAAAACUCGCUCGAACUCGCACUAUUAAGAAUCAAAUUCUCUCAAUCCAAUUGGAAUAAUAGUCUAAAUAAUGAAUACCAUUAAUGAAUAUAUAUGAUGUCCCUAAUAGUAUUCUUUUAACCGAGAUUCUAUAAAUUUUAGUGCCAUGAGAAAAGCUCGCUGGAACUCCGCACGAUCAUGACUCAUGCACCAUUCGACACGGCUGGGCUGGAAUCAUUUUAAACCAUGCUUCCAGAGAAUGAUCUCCGUUUUCUGCCCAAGGGGAUGAAGAAAUGCGCGUUUGGAUUGCAAUCCACAAAGCUUCCGCGUGUGUUGUAGAUGAUGUAAAUAAGUCAAGUGGGAUUCUGCAAGCCAAGCUCGCUCUAACUCGUAUGAUUAUGACUCAACUCUACUCGAUUUGGUUGGAAUCCUUUACAAUGCCAACACAUAAAAUUUGUGUGAAAUAUAUCUAUAUAUACUUAUAAAUUAAUAAAACUGAGUCAGACUUUUCUGCAUAAUAUGUCAACCUUUAGCUGAUUUUCCAGCUGCAAAGUGAUGAAAAUUUUGGUAGCCUGACUUUUUUCCCCAAUGUAAAUCUGAUGCCUAUCAUCUUUUACAUAAUAAUGCUUAAUGUAUUCCAAUUUCAAUGUGAAGUCCAUUUGUCUUUAACCAAGCUUAAGCGCCAUUUUUAUGUUUAGAUGCAUCUGUUUGUACUAUAAAUAUCAAUUUUCACUAGUGCUUCUAUAGAGGAUGAAUCAUCUAAUAACAUAAGUGUCUUUGGUCUAACAAUUUUUAACGACAUAUAUUCAAAAGUUUCGUUUGGCAAUUUAAUUGUUGGAAGUAAGUAGUUUGUUCUCAUCUUUUUCUUCUUUUAUUCAUGUUUUUAAAAUCUUGUCGUACCAGAUUGAUUUAGAGGCUUGUUGAAAGAAGAAGAAGAAGAAGAAGAAGAAGGUUACAAAGAAGGCGGUACAACUUUGCAAUGAAAUUCAGGGAAAAAGCUAAAGUGAUAGCAGGGAAGGCAUUCAAGAGGUUUGAUAUGGAGUUGAGUGUCAUUUUGUAACUGCUUCUGCGCAUAAAGAUGUGCAAAAGAUAUUCCUGUAUUUCUUGAUUGUAUUGGUUUGAAAAUUCAGGCCACCCAAAAUCAUGGAUCAAUAACAUAAUUGCAUUGAAAUAGUGUUGAACCUUUAAUUAGGUAAUGACAAGGAAUGUUGAUGAAAUUCAUCCAUUGCUCUGUUGAACUGCAAGUAUAGGUGUCUUGAGAUUGAUUUGAUGGCUUCUAUAAGAGAAAGUUGUUUAAUUUAAUGUGCGAUUUGGGUAAAGUGUCAUUGACAUAAUAGUAGUUAAGUUGAUAAUUGAUUCUAGUAGAUUUUUGUGUUUGAACAUGGGAUCAACAAUAUGGGGAGAAUUAUAAAGUAUCUGUAUCUCGAAAGGUACAACAGCUCAUGUUAUCUUAAGACGUUUGAAAUGAUGCUGCUAAUAGUGAGUAUGAAUGUAUCAUAGAAUUAAAUAGUUAAGGCAACAUGAACAUGUAUAGAUCAUACCUCAUUUAAGUUAAACUUGUCAAGAAAAGGAUGCCUACUACAUAAAAAAUUUAUUUCCUCUACAAGGAAAGGAUUGUUUGCUGCUGCCCUCGCCGAGACAAUAAAAGGAGACAAGGAGGAGCUGAUGCAGUUCGGGCCGAGGAGACAAAAACUCGGAAAAUCUCAGGAUAAGGAGGUCAGAGCCGAAGUCAGGGUAAAUUGAUCAAGGUAUCGAGGCUCAAGCUGAGAAGCAGCCGAGGCAUCAGGUCGAAGAAGCGAUCGAGUCAAGGGCUGAGGCGAGUCGAGGAAAUCGAAGUUGAGCUAAGGCUCGACGAGUUUUGGUCCGUUGAUGGUGAAGGGUGUCGACGCGGCGACAUUGAGUUGUGUCGUAGGCUGGAGUGGUGAAGGAGAUCACGGCGUGACUAUGGCAGUUGUAGUCGUAGGAAAUCGAAGGAAUGAAGAAGAUUUAGAGAGAAUGUGGCCGAAGGCGGCGAUGGCACUGGGAAUCGAAGGAUGCGGCGGUGGCCUUUGGGGUAGUGUUUAUAUAUAUAUAUAGAGGUGCACUAAAAUAAAAACCAAGAUUAGCCUAUAAAAUAAGAGCCAAUGUAGGCCAUUGGAUUAUCUUAAUUGGACGGUCAGGUCUUGAUUUAAUUUUCUCUAGCUAAUUAACGUCAAUUUAGGUAAUAGGGUAGAUAUGUAAUUACAUAAUUCUAAUAACCACCUCACCCUUAUUAUAAGGGAUUACAUUUAAACCAAGAUUUAACAUUCCCUAAUAUAAAAUCUGUGUAACUAAUACAUGUUCCAGAAGGAGAAAAAUAAGAAAACCCUGCCAACAGAUUCAAGAACACGCCCAGAAAUUCAUGGAGGACACUAAUACGCAAUUUCACUAUUCACAAUUUAUAGAUAUAAUUCAUAUAUUUUUUUCACUAUGUUGACAUAGUUCAUGGGUUAUGUGGUAUUGUUCACUCAACAAAUAUACUACGACUAANCAUGUCCCUACUGCUUAUGAAAGAGCUUAAAGCUCACUUAUCGUGUGGCUUAUGAAAGAGCCUAAAGCUCACUUGCCCUUGUUACUUAUAAAAGAGCAUAAAGCUCACUUGCCCAUGCUGCUUAUUGAAAAACUUAAAGCUCACUUGUCCCUGUCAUUUGUAAUAGAACUUGAAGCUCACUUAUCCUCAUUGUUAAUUGAAGAGCUUAAAGCAGAAAGCUCACUUGUCCCUGCUGCAUAUUAAACAGCAUAAAGCUCGCGUGUCCCUGUGGCUUAUAGAAAAGCUUGAAGGUUAGUUGUCCCAGUCUCUUAUAGAAGAGUUUAAAGCUCACGCUCCCUGUUGCUUAUAAAAGAGAUUAAAAUAAUCUUGUCCAUGUCCCUAAUAGAACAACUUAAAGCUCACAUAAAAGAGCAUGUAGCUCACGUGUCCAUAUGGAUAUAAAAUAGCAUAAAGCUGAACGUUUCCUUCCCAUUUAUGAAAAAGCUUAGAGGUCACUUGUCCCUCUCGCUUAUAAAAGGGCUUAAAGCUCACGUGUCCCUGUUGUUUAAUAAAGAGCUUAAAGCUGACUUUUCUCUGCCACUCGUACAAGACCAUAAAGCUUACUUGCUCGUGCCGCUUAUAAAAGAGCGUAAAGCUCACUUGUCGCUGUGAUUUAUGAAAGAGUUUUAACGCUCACUUGUUCCCAUCAUUAAUUAAUGAGCUUGAAGCAUAACGUUCACGUGUCCCUGCCUGCUUUUUAAAGAGCAUAAAGCCCACUUGUCCUUAUGGAUUAUGGAAAGCUUAAAGGUUGCUUGUCCCUGUCUCCUAUAGAAGAGUUUAAAGCUCAUGUGUCCAUGUUGCUUAUAAAAGAGAUUAAAAUAAACUUG